This is a long non-coding RNA of Hipposideros armiger (great roundleaf bat), 849 nucleotides long. RefSeq lists it as uncharacterized. The transcript is spliced from 3 exons. NCBI's taxonomy places the organism in Eukaryota, Metazoa, Chordata, Mammalia, Chiroptera, Hipposideridae. The record is from RefSeq and is a predicted model, not a curated record.
UCCCCGCGGGAGGGACCGGGUGGUAGCUGAGCGCCGGCACCCCUCACGGUUUUUGCAUCGCGCAGGAGCAACGGGAGCUCCGGGUGCUUUCGGGCUCGCUCUGCACCCUCCGAGGUCCCGGCGACUCCGUGAGCGCGGGGGAGCGGGGCGCGACCGUGCAUUCAAAACAGUUACACGCUGUACUUGAUACCUAUCGUUGCGACCGAACUGCCUUUUUCUCUUUUGUUGUCCGCUCUGACGGAGGCGAUGGUGGCAAGGAGGCAAGAGGUGACGACUUAAACGAGGGACUUGUCAGGGGUCCACCGCAGCGAGCAGUUUCCACCCCGAGAUACCUUCUCCCUGCUCCCCCACAUUCCCGCCCCUCAUGCCUGCGCUCCAGAUGACCGCCUGGCAGAGCACCCGAGCGUCCCGCACCUGGGCAGAUACAUCCAGGGCGUUUCACCUAACGCAAAGUAAACUGAAGUGGCUACUUUCAAUGUGUUUUGUGUUUCCUCUUUGGCCAUCUUUAAAUCUGAGUGUGUCCCCUCCCAUCAAAGUGAAGUGCAGCCAAGAACCACGAACCUAGACUUCCGCAUGCAUGGAAACAAGGUGACAGUGCCAGGAUUAUCUUGAUAACAGUGAUCUUUGAUGUUACCAAGGAAACAUCGUUUGGGGCAUGCAUUGGAGAAGAAGACUGCCUAAAGAGCCACUGUGAACAUUUUAGAAUUCAUUUAUUUCAAAUAAUUGCUUCAACCACACUUCUCAGCUGGGGAGUAUGAUAGUCUGUCUCCUAUACGACAAGGACAAGGAAGUGGCCAUCUCUGUUCCCUUAGAUUUGGAAGCUUGUGCCUCCCAGGACAGCCCAGUCCC